GAGCAGUGAUGUUAGCUGUGCCAAAGUGGAUGAAGGGUUCUUCCACAUUAAUCUGAACCACCGGAUGAGAAAAGGUGCUCCUGAGCUC
This is a non-coding RNA of Beta vulgaris subsp. vulgaris (sugar beet), 88 nucleotides long. Lineage: Eukaryota; Viridiplantae; Streptophyta; Magnoliopsida; Caryophyllales; Amaranthaceae. The record is from Rfam.